RNAcentral lists this ribosomal RNA (388 nucleotides) under Tigriopus fulvus. RNAcentral describes it as "partial small subunit ribosomal RNA". The record is from RNAcentral. Lineage: Eukaryota; Metazoa; Arthropoda; Copepoda; Harpacticoida; Harpacticidae.
GCGGUUACACUUGUUCUUCAAUUCAAAAUUUUUAAAUAAAAGAUAUUAAGUUAUUUUGUCCAAUAACAAAAUUAACAGGUUUAAUUUUAGAAAUUAUUGUUUAAACUGGAUUAGCACCCAAGUAAGUAAAUUAAUUAAUUAAGGUAACACCUAAACUAAAUGGCCGUAUUAUUUUUAAAGCAGAGAAACUUGAAAUUUAGAAAAUCCACUUUAUUAUUAAUCUUAUAAAGGUUUAAGUAUGGCUGUCUAAAAAUAAGUUUUUAUUUAGAUUUAUAGUCAAGCAACAUUUAACUUAUAAGGAGAUUUUGAGUUGCAAUAAAUAAAUUAUCAUAGGUUAUAAAAGUCAGGAUUUGCAAGUAAAAUAAUUUGUGAAAUAAGUAUAAGUAGA